AAAUUGAAGAGUUUGAUCAUGGCUCAGAUUGAACGCUGGCGGCAGGCCUAACACAUGCAAGUCGAACGGUAACAGGAAGCAGCUUGCUGUUUCGCUGACGAGUGGCGGACGGGUGAGUAAUGUCUGGGAAACUGCCCGAUGGAGGGGGAUAACUACUGGAAACGGUAGCUAAUACCGCAUAACGUCGCAAGACCAAAGAGGGGGACCUUCGGGCCUCUUGCCAUCGGAUGUGCCCAGAUGGGAUUAGCUAGUAGGUGGGGUAA
This 263-nucleotide ribosomal RNA is filed under the name Escherichia coli. RNAcentral describes it as "partial 16S ribosomal RNA". It matches the Rfam family "Bacterial small subunit ribosomal RNA", at positions 1 to 260 of the family's 1533-position model. The record is from RNAcentral. Lineage: Bacteria; Pseudomonadati; Pseudomonadota; Gammaproteobacteria; Enterobacterales; Enterobacteriaceae.